RNAcentral lists this long non-coding RNA (223 nucleotides) under Capsicum annuum. RNAcentral's name for it is "long non-coding RNA (CANN_LNC006759)". The record is from RNAcentral. Lineage: Eukaryota; Viridiplantae; Streptophyta; Magnoliopsida; Solanales; Solanaceae.
UAUAUGGAUGUAAAAAUUUCCUACUCAGUAGUUAUUUAUUUUACACUUUUUUGGGUUUAAAGUUGCAAUUUCAUUGAUAAUCAAAAUAUUUACAAUCUUCUCAAAACAGUCUUGGAUUGACUGCUAUCUAUAGUUCUAUCACUACUUCUCUCUAUAAAGAUAAUCAAAACAAAUUAAGCUUGAUCCCUACUACUACAAUCUCCUAGUCUAGGGAUAUGCAUUA